AACGAACGCUGGCGGCAGGCUUAACACAUGCAAGUCGAGCGCCCCGCAAGGGGAGCGGCAGACGGGGUGAGUAACGCGUGGGAACAUACCCUUUGGUUCGGAAUAACUCAGGGAAACUUGAGCUAAUACCGGAUACGUCCGUAAGGAGAAAGAUUUAUCGCCAAAGGAUUGGCCCGCGUCCGAUUAGCUAGUUGGUGAGGUAACGGCUCACCAAGGCUACGAUCGGUAGCUGGUCUGAGAGGAUGAUCAGCCACAUUGGGACUGAGACACGGCCCAAAACUCCUACGGGAGGCAGCAGUGGGGAAUAUUGGACAAUGGGCGCAAGCCUGAUCCAGCCAUGCCGCGUGAGUGAUGAAGGCCUUAGGUUGUAAAGCUCUUUGUCCGGGAAGAUAAUGACUGUACCGGAAGAAUAAAGCCCGGCUAACUUCGUGCCAGCAGCCGCGGUAAAGUGACUACUG
This 458-nucleotide ribosomal RNA is filed under the name uncultured bacterium. RNAcentral describes it as "bacterial SSU rRNA". It matches the Rfam family "Bacterial small subunit ribosomal RNA", at positions 29 to 531 of the family's 1533-position model. The record is from RNAcentral.